Zonotrichia albicollis (white-throated sparrow) is the source of this 1779-nucleotide non-coding RNA. Lineage: Eukaryota; Metazoa; Chordata; Aves; Passeriformes; Passerellidae. The record is from RefSeq and is a predicted model, not a curated record.
CCACUGCUGCUGUCACUGUGUGAGCUCGGAGCACACCUACGGAGCCGGGCCACUUGGCACAUGGAGCACGACACACUGCUUUGCAUCCCAGAUGGACUGGGUGUGGAGGAUGUGCACUUCAUUCAGCUGAGAAGGUGACAUAUUCUGAUGUGUGCAGAGACACACCAAGUUAGAAAACUUAGAUGCCUGAGACAUGUUCCACAAGUAGCCAAAUUGCCAAGAAUGUAGACGACCAGCCUUUCUAAACAGUUCUCACCUUUCCAAACAGUUUUGAAAAUUGGUGGACACGCUCUGAGGAAUAGAGUACAUCAUCUUCACACAAUCCUAAUUUACAAUAUAUGACAAUGAAGAUGUGUUCGAUUCUUAGAAUUACAGGAAAUGUUCUUGUAACAUCUCCUUGAGCUCCUGAUCUUUUUCUUCCCUCAGUCAACUACCAUUCUUUGUGACUUACUGACAAUUUUCACCACGGAUUCCAUUGUGUUUCCUCCUAAUAUUAUAUCUACUUGACUUCAUCUUGCUAGCAGCCUUUUUGAUACACUGAAGAGAGAGAGAAAUUGUGGCUCACCUUCAUCUCAAAGGCUUCACUUGGAGCCAUCAUCAAUAUAUAUUCACAAAACAAUAAAAAAGAGUGAAUCAGGCACUGCUGAGAAGAGGAAUUGGCAGCCAGAAGAGAGGAUAAAGAGACCAGAAUAAAUUGGGUUUUGGGGGUUCUGUUUGUUUGGUUUUGUUGUUUUUGUCCUCUAAAAAACCCUUCUGGCAGCCCUGAAUGAGAUAAAUGUUCAUUAAUUAGCAUAGAUGAUGAGUUCUUGCUUUGGUGAAGGGCAAUUCUACUCCUUUAAUACAGGCUUGUGAUUUUCCCUCCCUAAAGCUACAGCAAGGAAUUUAAAUUCAUCAGCUGUAACUUGUGAUGGAAUGAAGAGGAGCCUCUUUUAAAUGUUACAGAAGUAUAAAGUAGUGAAGCUUUGUGGUACUUUAAAAUCUGCUGAAUAUGUGUAUUUUAUUUUAUUUUAUUCUAUGGGACACAAGGGGAGAGAGUAAUUAUGAUUGUAAGUAUCAAAUAUAUGUCAGCUUAUCUGCAACAACGUCUCAGUCACAGAUUUAUAGGUGGUUCUCAGAUCGUCCUGAGGCUCAGAAUAGCUCUUUGUACUGUUAGAACCUUGAGAUGUUGAAGGGUAAUUCUCCAAAGUGAGGAAAAACUUAUUAAAAAAAAAAAAAAGGUAUUUUUCCCUUGUUAAGAGUACUUUUGAAAACCACCUCAAAACAAUAUUCAAAUAUACUAGCCUGAAAAAUAUUGAGUUUUCUCAAAACAUUUUCUGAAAUGUAAUUAAUGUAUAGACAUACUCAACAGAGAUUAGCAUGUAGUGCAUAUUUUAGUUAUAUCAACCUGAAGCUACUGUUUAUGCUAUGCAGAAAAGGUUUUUUGUCUUCAUUCCUGAGCACAUUCUGGCCCAAAAAUCUUUCAUAGAAUUAUCUUCACAUGUCUUAAAUUACUGUGGAGGAGUUGAAUGCACUCAGCAAGAUGUAGAACUCAUAUCCACUGCCCAUGUUUUUAGUAUGAUUCGUAUAUUAAAUCACGUUAGUUUAGGAGCCAAAAGAUACCUCUGAUAGGUUUCUGCUAAUGCAAGCUUGAUUCCAUGCCCAUGUUUUUCUUCAGUGAAGCAGUAAGCCACUGAACUUUGCUUGAACUCAGAUUCACAGAACAGCGCAGUACAUAUUUGAUGCAACCCAUCCUGUUCAUAUUCAAUUUCUUUUUUAUUCAUUAAAAAAAAAAAAAAAAAA